GGUAAAUGUUCCAUGAUAAUGGGUUAGGUAAAUGUUUCAUGAUAAUGGGUUAGGUAAAUGUUUCAUGAUAAGAAUUUCAUGUCUUUUGUAUUAAAGAAUUAAAUGGAUGAAAUAUGAAGUUUCAUUAAAAGAAAAAGGGGUGAAAAGAACAAAGUUUUGUCCAUCUUUGUUCAUCAUAGCUGAAAGUUAGAGAAGAGAAAGGAGAGGAGAAAGCUCUUGAGUAUUUGGUCAUUAGGAGGAGGAAAAUUGAAGGCGGUUCGUGUGUGGAUCUCGUCAGCAUAUCGUCGCAAACAGGUGUGUAACUGACACCCUCUCAUAGACUAGAUUGGCAAAAGCCGAAAAGCCAAAAUGCCGAAAAGUCAGUAUUGUGGGAAUUUGCGAGUGUGCAAAUGCUCGUAAGAUAGUUGGGUUUGUAUAUUUGGUAAUCUAAAGUAAUAAACUGCAGUGCGCGCGAUUUCGUACAUUUUGAUAAUUUGGGCUUAAUGGGCCAAAGAUCGAUUCAUGGGCCAACAGGCCCCAAUUCGGUAAGUAUGCGCGGUAAGUGUUCUGAUAGUAAGUAAAUAGUUAGGAUAUGCAUAAAAACCCUAAAAGUAGCUAAAUUACUAUAAUACCCCUAUGUAUGGAAAAUUACUGUUAUACCCCUAGGUGUAAAAUUACCGUUAUACCCUUAGGGUUAAUUUUGACUGAAAAGCAUGACGAUCUGAUUCUGUAUGAUGUAUGCCAUAAUUAUAUAUCUAUUGCAUGGGGACAUGGGUUAUAUUA
Gossypium arboreum is the source of this 762-nucleotide long non-coding RNA. RefSeq lists it as uncharacterized. The record is from RefSeq and is a predicted model, not a curated record. The transcript is spliced from 2 exons. Lineage: Eukaryota; Viridiplantae; Streptophyta; Magnoliopsida; Malvales; Malvaceae.